This 618-nucleotide ribosomal RNA is filed under the name Pseudomonas sp. LV-2. RNAcentral describes it as "bacterial SSU rRNA". It matches the Rfam family "Bacterial small subunit ribosomal RNA", at positions 33 to 648 of the family's 1533-position model. The record is from RNAcentral. Lineage: Bacteria; Pseudomonadati; Pseudomonadota; Gammaproteobacteria; Pseudomonadales; Pseudomonadaceae.
UUGCUGGCGGCGGCCUACACAUGCAGUCGAGCGGUAGAGAGAAGCUUGCUUCUCUUGAGAGCGGCGGACGGGUGAGUAAUGCCUAGGAAUCUGCCUGGUAGUGGGGGAUAACGUUCGGAAACGGACGCUAAUACCGCAUACGUCCUACGGGAGAAAGCAGGGGACCUUCGGGCCUUGCGCUAUCAGAUGAGCCUAGGUCGGAUUAGCUAGUUGGUGGGGUAAUGGCUCACCAAGGCGACGAUCCGUAACUGGUCUGAGAGGAUGAUCAGUCACACUGGAACUGAGACACGGUCCAGACUCCUACGGGAGGCAGCAGUGGGGAAUAUUGGACAAUGGGCGAAAGCCUGAUCCAGCCAUGCCGCGUGUGUGAAGAAGGUCUUCGGAUUGUAAAGCACUUUAAGUUGGGAGGAAGGGCAGUAAAUUAAUACUUUGCUGUUUUGACGUUACCGACAGAAUAAGCACCGGCUAACUCUGUGCCAGCAGCCGCGGUAAUACAGAGGGUGCGAGCGUUAAUCGGAAUUACUGGGCGUAGAGCGCGCGUAGGUGGUUCGUUAACCUGGAUGUGUAAUCUCCGGGCUCAACCUGGGGAACUGCAUUCAAAACUGACGAGCUAGAUGA